Molecule: ribosomal RNA, 460 nt
Filed under: uncultured bacterium
Lineage: Bacteria
Description: partial 16S ribosomal RNA
Rfam family: Bacterial small subunit ribosomal RNA
Source: RNAcentral
CCUACGGGAGGCAGCAGUGAGGAAUAUUGGUCAAUGGGCGCGAGCCUGAACCAGCCAAGUCGCGUGAGGGAGGACGGCCCUACGGGUUGUAAACCUCUUUUGCCGGGGAGCAACGCUCGUCACGUGUGUCGCCACUGAGAGUACCCGCAGAAAAAGCAUCGGCUAACUCCGUGCCAGCAGCCGCGGUAAUACGGGGGAUGCAAGCGUUAUCGGGAUUUAUUGGGUUUAAGGGGUGCUUAGGGGGAUGGUUAAGUCGGUGGUAAAUGUGAGGGGCUAACCCCAUUCCCGCCAUUGAAACUGGCGCUCUUGAGUGGAAGAGAAGUAUGCGGAAUGCGUGGUGUAGCGGUGAAAUGCAUAGAUAUCACACAGAACCCCGAUUGCGAAGGCAGCAUGCCGGCUUCCGACUGACGCUGAAGCACGAAAGCGUGGGGAUCGAACAGGAUUAGAUACCCCUGUAGUC